This 435-nucleotide ribosomal RNA is filed under the name uncultured bacterium. RNAcentral describes it as "partial 16S ribosomal RNA". It matches the Rfam family "Bacterial small subunit ribosomal RNA", at positions 29 to 507 of the family's 1533-position model. The record is from RNAcentral.
AACGAACGCUGGCGGCAUGCCUAACACAUGCAAGUCGAACGAGACCUUCGGGUCUAGUGGCGCACGGGUGCGUAACGCGUGGGAACCUGCCCUUAGGUUCGGAAUAACUCCCCGAAAGGGGUGCUAAUACCGGAUAAUGUCUUCGGACCAAAGAUUUAUCGCCUUUGGAUGGGCCCGCGUUGGAUUAGUUAGUUGGUAGGGUAAAAGCCUACCAAGGCGACGAUCCGUAGCUGGUCUGAGAGGAUGAUCAGCCACACGGGGACUGAGACACGGCCCAGACUACUAAGGGAGGAAGCAGUGGGGAAGUUGGCGAAAGGGGCGCAAGUGUGACGGAGGAAGACCGCGGGAGGGAAGAAGGUCUGUGGAUUGCAAACCGCUUUUGACAGGGAAGAAGUACUGACGGUACCUGUCGAAUCAGCCUCGGCUAACUCCGUG